Molecule: non-coding RNA, 73 nt
Organism: Cervus elaphus (red deer)
Lineage: Eukaryota; Metazoa; Chordata; Mammalia; Artiodactyla; Cervidae
Source: the annotation of a RefSeq genome assembly
UCCCUGGUAGUCCAGUGGUUAAGACUCUGCACUUCCACUGCAAGGGGCCUGGGUUCAAUCCCUGGUCUGGGAA